AGGGGUGUUGCUCAGUGGUACGGUGCUUGCCUAGCAUGUAUGAGGCCCUGAGUUCAAUCCCCAGAACUCCUC
RNAcentral lists this transfer RNA (72 nucleotides) under Marmota marmota marmota (Alpine marmot). It matches the Rfam family "tRNA". Rfam says of the family: Transfer RNA (tRNA) molecules are approximately 80 nucleotides in length. Their secondary structure includes four short double-helical elements and three loops (D, anti-codon, and T loops). Further hydrogen bonds mediate the characteristic L-shaped molecular structure. tRNAs have two regions of fundamental functional importance: the anti-codon, which is responsible for specific mRNA codon recognition, and the 3' end, to which the tRNAs corresponding amino acid is attached (by aminoacyl-tRNA synthetases). tRNAs cope with the degeneracy of the genetic code in two manners: having more than one tRNA (with a specific anti-codon) for a particular amino acid; and 'wobble' base-pairing, i.e. permitting non-standard base-pairing at the 3rd anti-codon position. RNAcentral also lists the same sequence under 2 other names. The record is from Rfam by way of RNAcentral. Lineage: Eukaryota; Metazoa; Chordata; Mammalia; Rodentia; Sciuridae.